CAUGCGUCGAACGCCCCGCAAGGGGAGUGGCAGACGGGUGAGUAACGCGUGGGAAUCUACCCAUCUACGGAAUAACGCAUGGAAACGUGUGCUAAUACCGUAUACGCCCUACGGGGGAAAGUUAUCGGGGAUGGAUGAGCCCGCGUUGGAUUAGCUAGUUGGUGGGGUAAAGGCCUACCGGCGACGAUCCAUAGCUGGUCUGAGAGGAUGAUCAGCCACAUUGGGACUGAGACACGGCAAACUCCUACGGGAGGCAGCAGUGGGGAAUAUUGGACAAUGGGCGCAAGCCUGAUCCCCAUGCCGCGUGAGUGAUGAAGGCCUUAGGGUUGUAAAGCUCUUUCACCGGAGAAGAUUGACGGUAUCCGGAGAAGAAGCCCCGGCUAACUUCGUGCCAGCAGCCGCGGUAAUACGGGGGGCUAGCGUUGUUCGGAAUUACUGGGCGUAAAGCGCACGUAGGCGGACUUUUAAGAGGGGUGAAAUCCCGGGGCUCAACCCCGGAACUGCCUUUGAUACUGGAAGUCUGGAGUGGAAGAGGUAAGUGGAAUUCCGAGUGUAGAGGUGAAAUUCGUAGAUAUUCGGAGGAACCAGUGGCGAAGGCGGCUUACUGGUCCAUUACUGACGCUGAGGUGCGAAAGCGUGGGGAAAACAGGAUUAGAUACCCUGGUAGUCCACGCCGUAAACGAUGAAUGUUAGCCGUCGGG
This 701-nucleotide ribosomal RNA is filed under the name uncultured bacterium. RNAcentral describes it as "bacterial SSU rRNA". It matches the Rfam family "Bacterial small subunit ribosomal RNA", at positions 54 to 827 of the family's 1533-position model. The record is from RNAcentral.